AGGCAGCUGGACCCACGUGAGACUGUGACAGGCUCCUCUGCAGACUUGGCUCCUCCUCCUCCCUACCAGCCGCAGGUCAAUCGAGACACUAAAAGCAAGGAUUGCCCAACUCCUGCUGAGGGCCAUCCUCCUUGGUUGCCCUAGCAACCGGAAAAUAAGCGUCAAGCAGCUAAUGUAAGGGGAUCCAGCUGUAGGAGGACACUGGUCGCGAGAGUGCAGCUAGCAUACCGGGCAGCUUGCCUCAAGAUGGGCUGGAAGGAUGAGAAUGCGGUGCAUCUCCAACUCAAGUAGCGUCAUGCACCUGCAACGAACGCGGCCCCCCUUCGCUCGUCUUCCCUUGCUCUGCUUUGUGCAUCCUGCUUGACUACGGCCGUGGUUCCAUCCAAAAGAUGCUGAUGGGAAUGUGUGCAAAGACACCAGGCAGACAGCCCACUCUCCUCUCUCCCACUCCCCUCCUCCUUCCCAUGGUUGCAUUGAGGACCUCCGUGUCGUGUCUCCGCAGGGUCCUAGCGUCUGUGAUGUUCAUGGUGAACUGUCGAGAACAAGAGCACAGUGGUGAUUUGAGCACUUUCAUGGAUCGGCACGGCCUCCAGCACAAGAUUUAUUGAGAAGGUGAGGGGAGUGAUGAGGCCGGCCUUCAGCCUCCAUCACCCGAGCUUCUCAAAGUGGGGCUUCUGUUGCCACGGUGAUCCUUUUCAUAUACAGUCCAUCUCGUUGCUCUAUCUAUGGGAUGACAAUGAAAUGUGUGUGAUGAUGGACACAACUAUACUCCUAACAACUGCUUUUUUUAUUUGCAUUUGUAAGGUCGCCCGACCAUUUGCAUUUAAUGACAAUCACCUUGCGCAUCAUUCAUGUAACACCUCACAUGCAGUGACUGAUUCAUUUCAAUUACUAAUAGACUUAUUAGAAUAAUGUCAGAGUGACAUCUCAGCUGUUCUGGUUUCAGUAUGACACCGUUUUAUAUCACAGCUUUCCUGGAAGUGAUUGUUGUUGUAUCGCAAAUUAUUUUUGUCCGCUGGUAAGUUUUAGAAACCUAAGGGUGUGUGUGUGUGUGUGUGCGUG
This is a long non-coding RNA of Syngnathus acus (greater pipefish), 1062 nucleotides long. RefSeq lists it as uncharacterized. Lineage: Eukaryota; Metazoa; Chordata; Actinopteri; Syngnathiformes; Syngnathidae. The record is from RefSeq and is a predicted model, not a curated record. The transcript has 3 exons.